This is a long non-coding RNA of Oncorhynchus gorbuscha (pink salmon), 1556 nucleotides long. RefSeq lists it as uncharacterized. The transcript has 3 exons. Lineage: Eukaryota; Metazoa; Chordata; Actinopteri; Salmoniformes; Salmonidae. The record is from RefSeq and is a predicted model, not a curated record.
AAGAUACAAUAGAAUACAGUAUAUACUGUAGCGACCCGCACAGACAGCUGUGUGUUAGGCAAGUAGGUGGUUGUGUUGUACUUACCAGUACCCAGUGUUCGCGGGGUCCGACAUGCCAAUCAAUCUGCUAUCUACCAAUCACGGGAAUGUUCUGAUGCCGGGCAUCCUGGCGGUUGGCGGAGUAGCGUGGAGGGGGGUUGGGCAGGGGGAUGGAGCAUUGGAAGUUAAGACCAGGUUUAGCCUUUGUUCUCUCUCUUACGUCUGGGCUUCACAAGAGAAGGUCACGGUUGGCUUGUGGGUUAUCUUUCAUUUAUUUGGCGUGGGCUACGGCCAAACAGUAGCCUGUGUAAAGUUGAUUUAAUAAACCAUCAAUUCAUUAACUCAAUCCUCUGUCUGGACAAUUGUUCCUUUAUGAUCUAGUCAGGUCAUUAAAAUACAUACGAGAUAAGUAAUGCAGUAAACCUUAUUAGUGACUAGUGUUCCAUUUAUUAAAAUGGCCAGGGAUUUCAAGUCUUGUGUGUUGGCAGCAGCCUCUCUGUUAGAUGGCUGUUUAACAGUGAUGUCCUUGAGUUUCAGUCUCUCGAUCCCAGCUUUGAUGCACCUGAACUGACCUCGUCUUCUGGAUGAUAGUGGGGUGAACAGGCAGUGGCGCCGGUGGUUGUUGUCCUUGAUGAUCUUUUUGGCCUUCCUGUGACAUCGGAUGCUUUAGGUGUCCUGGAGGGCAGGUAGUUUGCCCCCGAUGAUGCGUUGGACAAACCGAACCACACUCUGGAGAGCCCAGCGGUUGCGGGCGGUGCAGAUUUUCAGCCUGUUGUCAAAACAGUAACUCUGCCACUCAGGAACAUUCACUAUCUUCUUGGAAAACGAUGAAGUCUUGAUAGCAGAAUUUGGUUGAAAGGGACAUUCCGAUGGUGAUAUUCCUGGUGUCUGCUUCAAGGUGGUCAAAGUAGCCAAUGUCUCACUACUGGCCCUUUACAAGGGCAAGAAAGAAAGACUUCGAUCAUAGAAAAUGUGUACACUCAAAGAAAAAAUGGAAGCCAUUUCUAUUAUGAGGAUAUGAAUUCUGAAAUGUGUAAAAUGUCGUAGACAUGUAAAUGUUUUAUUUCUGUAGGGUUAAUAGUUAGCAUAAAACAUGUGGUAGACAACUAUAAAGGAGCUGUAUAGCCUCUCGCUCUUUUUUUGUGUUGUUGCAAUGCAAAGUAUUCUAAAUGUUUGUACCUUUAAAUCUCCCUGCAUAAAUUGCAAUGCAUGAUAACUGGUACCCAGUCUUUUUAGCUAAUAUUCCACUCCACUGCCUAAAGGCCAAUCUCAACUUUCUAUAUGCAGCUGGAUUUGAGACUGAUUGGUUGUUGGCAAUAACAUUAUUUUCCAUGAUAUGUGGAGCCUCAAAUAGAAUUAUAGGCAAAUUGUUGUAUUUUGUGGUUGGAAUUGCAGUAUGUACAUGUAUAUAUUUUGUUUCAGUACCAAUCAAAUGUUUGGACACCUACUCGUUCCACUUUUUUUCCCUUUUUUUGUGCUAUUUUCUACAUUGUGAAGACAUCAAUGAUGAAAUGACA